Molecule: non-coding RNA, 73 nt
Organism: Podarcis lilfordi (Lilford's wall lizard)
Lineage: Eukaryota; Metazoa; Chordata; Lepidosauria; Squamata; Lacertidae
Source: the annotation of a GenBank genome assembly
GUGUAUCUUCUCCAGUUGGUAGAGCAUGAGACUCUUAAUCUCACAGUCAAGGGUUCGAGUCCUGCGUUGGGCA